RNAcentral lists this ribosomal RNA (459 nucleotides) under uncultured organism. RNAcentral describes it as "bacterial SSU rRNA". It matches the Rfam family "Bacterial small subunit ribosomal RNA", at positions 28 to 507 of the family's 1533-position model. The record is from RNAcentral.
GACGAACGCUGGCGGCAUGCCUAACACAUGCAAGUCGAACGGGAUGGCACCUUCGGGUGCCGGCGAGUGGCGAACGGGUGAGUAACACGUGGGUAACCUGCCCUUCACUGGGGGAUAACCGAGGGAAACUUCGGCUAAUACCGCAUGAUGUGCGAUGCCAUGAGGUGUCGUACCAAAACUCCGGUGGUGAAGGAUGGGCCCGCGGCGGAUUAGCUUGUUGGUGGGGUAAUGGCCUACCAAGGCGACGAUCCGUAGCUGGUCUGAGAGGACGAUCAGCCACACUGGGACUGAGACACGGCCCAGACUCCUACGGGAGGCAGCAGUGGGGAAUCUUGCGCAAUGGGCGAAAGCCUGACGCAGCAAUGCCGCGUGAGGGAAGAAGGUCUUAGGAUUGUAAACCUCUUUCAGCAGGGACGAAAACAGACGGUACCUGCAGAAGAAGCCCCGGCUAACUACGUG